GUCUGUCUUGGCAGCCUUUGAAG
RNAcentral lists this small nuclear RNA (23 nucleotides) under Arabidopsis thaliana (thale cress). Its description in RNAcentral is "snRNA_15181". Lineage: Eukaryota; Viridiplantae; Streptophyta; Magnoliopsida; Brassicales; Brassicaceae. The record is from RNAcentral.